Molecule: ribosomal RNA, 460 nt
Filed under: uncultured bacterium
Lineage: Bacteria
Description: partial 16S ribosomal RNA
Rfam family: Bacterial small subunit ribosomal RNA
Source: RNAcentral
CCUACGGGAGGCAGCAGUGAGGAAUAUUGGUCAAUGGGCGCGAGCCUGAACCAGCCAAGUAGCGUGAAGGAUGACUGCCCUACGGGUUGUAAACUUCUUUUAUAAAGGAAUAAAGUAAGGCAAGUUUGCCUUUUCGUAGGUACUUUAUGAAUAAGGAUCGGCUAACUCUGUGUCAGCAGCCGCGGUAAUACGGAGGAUCUGAGCGUUAUCCGGAUUUAUUGGGUGUAAAGGGGGCGUAGAUGGGUUGUUAAGUCAGUUGUGAAAGUUUGCGGCUCAACCGUUAAAUUGCAAUUGAUACUGGCAGGCUUGAGUACAGUUGAGGUAGGCGGAAUUCGUGGUGUAGCGGUGAAAUGCGUAGAUAUCACGAAGAACUCCGAUUGCGAAGGCAGCUUACUAAACUGCCACUGACAUUGAUGCUCGAAAGUGUGGGUAUCAAACAGGAUUAGAUACCCCUGUAGUC